UGGGGAAUCUUGCGCAAUGGGCGAAAGCCUGACGCAGCAACGCCGCGUGAGGGAAGAAGGCUUUCGGGUUGUAAACCUCUUUCAGGAGGGACGAAGCUUCCGGGGUUAAUAGCCUACGGGGUGACGGUACCUCCAGAAGAAGCCCCGGCUAACUACGUGCCAGCAGCCGCGGUAAUACGUAGGGGGCAAGCGUUGUCCGGAAUCAUUGGGCGUAAAGCGCGUGUAGGUGGCUUGGUAAGUCCGGUGUGAAACCUUGGGGCUCAACCCCAAGCCUGCAUCGGAUACUGCCUCGCUCGAGUUCGGGAGGGGAGAGCGGAAUUCCUAGUGUAGCGGUGAAAUGCGCAGAUAUUAGGAAGAACACCGGUGGCGAAGGCGGCUCUCUGGAACGAUACUGACACUGAGACGCGAAAGCGUGGGUAGCGAACAGGAUUAGAUACCCAAGUAGUCCCUGAGCGGGCUGGCAAGGCGCAU
This 471-nucleotide ribosomal RNA is filed under the name uncultured bacterium. Its description in RNAcentral is "bacterial SSU rRNA". It matches the Rfam family "Bacterial small subunit ribosomal RNA", at positions 355 to 825 of the family's 1533-position model. The record is from RNAcentral.